RNA transcript from Panicum virgatum (switchgrass), 712 nucleotides. It is a transcript of the gene named leaf-specific thionin DB4-like, with no coding region annotated. NCBI's taxonomy places the organism in Eukaryota, Viridiplantae, Streptophyta, Magnoliopsida, Poales, Poaceae. The transcript is spliced from 3 exons. The record is from RefSeq and is a predicted model, not a curated record.
AUCAGUGCCAAUAACCCAAGCCAUAUUUCUUUGUGUUUUGCAAGAAAGCCGGAAAGAAAUGGGAAGCAAGGGUCUUCAGAGUGUAAUCAUGUGUGUGCUGAUACUAGGAAUAAUCUUGGAAGUAGAGGGAAAGAGUUGUUGCAAGACCACCCUGGCAAGAAUCUGCUACAACGUAUGUCGUCGGAGGUUUCCCCCGCCAGUUUGUGCACUAGGAUGUCGCUGUAAAAUCGUAAAAGGCAACAAAUGCCCGCCUGGCUAUCCUAAAUUGAACCUUCUUCCGAACUCCGCAGGUGAACCAGCUGAUGCCAUUUCGUCGUACUGCAACUUGGGAUGUGUGUCUUCUAUGUGCGACAACAUCAGCAAUGCUCCAGAAUUUGUCGGCGAAGAGACGAACAUCGACAUGGAACGUUGCAGUGAUGCAUGUGACCGUAUUUGCAAUGGGGAUGCCAGCAUCGCGUCCGUUGCUGCAUAAUCAUGCAUGUGCAUGACAUCGGAUAGUACGUGUUCCACAAAAAGGAUCUCAUGGGUCAGAUCCAAGCCAGUGUUUCAUCUUAUAUAUGUAUACGUGUGCUCUUUUUUUUCUUUGUUACAAUAAAGGUAACCACACGAGGGAUGCCAUGUUCCUACCUGUAUGUGCCCAUCUCUAUCGAGAUGUAUCCGUGUACCCUUGGCCAGUUAAUAUAAUCACUACAAAUUAUAUAGUUUUGUGUUA